This 1098-nucleotide transfer RNA is filed under the name Sus scrofa (pig). RNAcentral's name for it is "lncRNA (ENSSSCG00050052501.1)". Lineage: Eukaryota; Metazoa; Chordata; Mammalia; Artiodactyla; Suidae. The record is from RNAcentral.
AUUCUGGGACUCUUAAUGACCCAAAUUUAAGAUCUUUUAUUAUUUUCCCACAUGUCCCUGAGGCUCUGGAAGUUUGGGGGGUUUGUUUUUUUUUCAGUCUGUUUCCUCUCUCUUGUCCAGAUUGAGUAGUUUCUAUUGUUCUUCCAGUUCGGUGACUUUUUUCCUUCUCUGUCACUUCUAUGCUGCUGUUGAGCCCAUCAUGAGAUAUUUAUUUCAGUUAUUGGGUUUUUCUGCCCUAAAUUUUCCAUUUGGGUCUUCUAUUUCUUUUCUGAGGUUUUCUAUUUUCUCAUUUAUUUCAAGCUUGUGAAUAACUGCUUGUUGAAAAAUUAUCACUGACCAUUGGAAAUCUUUGUUGGAUAAUUCUAACAUCUCAGUCAUCUACUGAUAGUCUUUUUUCAUUCACUUUUAUAUCUCACAGUUCUUGGUAAAUUAAGUGAUUUUCAACUAAAACUGAACAUCUUAAUAUUACAUUAUGAGACUCUGGAUCUUAUUUAAACUUUUUUUUUUUCGGCUGGGCCUGCACCAUGCAGAAAUUCCCAGGCCAGGGAUCAAACCUGCUCCACAGCAGUAAUCUGGGCCACAGCAAUGACAAUACUGUGUCCUUAACCAUUAAACCACCAGGGAACUCCCUAAAACUUUUUUUUUUUUUCUUUUUAGGGUUGGCCCUGUGGCAUAUGAAAGUUCCUGGGCUAAGGGUCAAAUUGGAGCUGCAGCGGCUGGCACGUAGCACAGCCAUGGCAAUGCCAGAUCUGAGCCCCAUCUGUGACCUUGUGGCAACGCUGGAUCCUAACCCACUGAGUGAGGCCAGGGAUACUAGUCGGAUUCUUAACCUGCUGAGCCACAAUAGGAACUCCCCUAAAACUUUAAAAAAAAAAUUUUUUUUUUUUACACUGCUCCAGCAGAAGAGGGUAGUGGUAGAAAUCCACUUAGUCCCCAUUAACACCCAAGGGUGGGGAGCCCACCUUGCUGGGCAGAGGUAGAAGGUCCAUCUCCCCACGUGGUCUUUACUGACACUGCAGUAGGGGUUGGGGCUCCUUAUUGCUGGGUGAUGGUGGACGACCUAAAAAAACAGCCUUUUAUUGUUGUUGUAUUCCCUGC